UGGGGAAUAUUGGACAAUGGGCGCAAGCCUGAUCCAGCAAUGCCGCGUGAGUGAUGAAGGCCUUCGGGUUGUAAAGCUCUUUCGCACGCGACGAUGAUGACGGUAGCGUGAGAAGAAGCCCCGGCUAACUUCGUGCCAGCAGCCGCGGUAAUACGAAGGGGGCUAGCGUUGUUCGGAAUUACUGGGCGUAAAGGGCGCGUAGGCGGUGCCUCAAGUCAGGCGUGAAAGCCCCGGGCUCAACCUGGGAACCGCGCUUGAGACUGGAGUACUAGAGUUCGGGAGAGGAUGGUGGAAUUCCCAGUGUAGAGGUGAAAUUCGUAGAUAUUGGGAAGAACACCGAUGGCGAAGGCAGCCAUCUGGACCGACACUGACGCUGAGGCGCGAAAGCGUGGGGAGCAAACA
Molecule: ribosomal RNA, 402 nt
Filed under: uncultured bacterium
Lineage: Bacteria
Description: bacterial SSU rRNA
Rfam family: Bacterial small subunit ribosomal RNA
Source: RNAcentral